UCAACAGAUGCGUGCAGAUGUUCUCGC
This 27-nucleotide small RNA is filed under the name Bombyx mori (domestic silkworm). RNAcentral describes it as "ovarian small RNA-24566". The record is from RNAcentral. Lineage: Eukaryota; Metazoa; Arthropoda; Insecta; Lepidoptera; Bombycidae.